UUCUCUCUAACGGGGCAGCACUGGACGAUGCUUCUCCCAUGGCCACUCUGGAAGCCCUAUCCAAGGGGGCUCAUCCUUGGUGGGGUCGGGUGUGGGAGAGGGGCAAGAAGCCUCAUCCCUGAUUGGGCUCUGAGCAGGAAGUGGGACUUGUAGACCCCAGAGCAAGGCGAUGCUCCUCUGAACACGGGCUUCUCCGACAGGCACCUGCUGCGGCUGCCUGCGGCAUUCAGGAAAGCAGCUUCCCAGAACUCGAGCCUGUGGGCCCAGCUCAGUUCCACACAGACCAGUGAUUCCACGGAUGCCGCCGCUGCCAAAACCCAGUUCCUCCAGAACAUGCAGACAGCUUCAGGCGGACCCCAGCCC
RNAcentral lists this small RNA (363 nucleotides) under Pan troglodytes (chimpanzee). RNAcentral describes it as "retained intron". The record is from RNAcentral. Lineage: Eukaryota; Metazoa; Chordata; Mammalia; Primates; Hominidae.